This 420-nucleotide ribosomal RNA is filed under the name uncultured eukaryote. RNAcentral describes it as "SSU rRNA". It matches the Rfam family "Eukaryotic small subunit ribosomal RNA", at positions 592 to 1013 of the family's 1831-position model. The record is from RNAcentral.
CAAUAGCGUAUAUUAAAGUUGUUGCAGUUAAAAGCUCGUAGUUGGAUUUCUGUUCUCGAGGAUCGGUCCGCCUCACGGUGAGCACUGGUUUUUCUUGGGACAUCCUCUCGAAGGCGGGUGGUGCACUUAAUUGUGUGCUGCUUGGAUUCGGGACCUUUACUUUGAAAAAUUAGAGUGUUCAAAGCAGGCGUCGGCUUGAAUACAUUAGCAUGGAAUAAUGGAAUAGGACUUUGGUUCUAUUUUGUUGGUUUCUAGGACCGAAGUAAUGAUUAAUAGGGACAGUUGGGGCAGUAUGUAUUUAAUUGUCGAUGAGGUUGAAAAUUCUUGGAUUUAUGAAAAGACUAACUACUGCGAAAAGCAUUUGCCAAGGAUGUUUUCAUUAAUCAAGAACGAAAGUUAGGGGAUCGAAGACGAUCAGAU